Molecule: small RNA, 117 nt
Filed under: Pseudomonas taetrolens
Lineage: Bacteria; Pseudomonadati; Pseudomonadota; Gammaproteobacteria; Pseudomonadales; Pseudomonadaceae
Description: Pseudomon-1 RNA
Rfam family: Pseudomon-1/ErsA RNA
About the family: Functions to regulate the AlgC enzyme. Based on this information, the new name ErsA for the RNA was adopted.
Source: RNAcentral
AAGCUCCUAAUGUUGUGUUAAGUGUUGGCAGAUAUCUGGACCACGCCCUAGCGGUCCAGUGCUUAAACCCCGGACUUCUCCCCCCCAUACGAAGUCCGGGGUUUUUUUUGCCUGCGA